Molecule: long non-coding RNA, 92 nt
Organism: Pseudophryne corroboree (corroboree frog)
Lineage: Eukaryota; Metazoa; Chordata; Amphibia; Anura; Myobatrachidae
Exons: 3
Source: RefSeq, a predicted model, not a curated record
AGUACACCAUCUGUGUCCUCCAUGCAGGAGAGUAUAACAUCUGACCCCACCCUGCUGGAGAGUACACCAUAUGUAUCCUCCGAGCAGAAGAG